Molecule: ribosomal RNA, 253 nt
Filed under: uncultured bacterium
Lineage: Bacteria
Description: partial 16S ribosomal RNA
Rfam family: Bacterial small subunit ribosomal RNA
Source: RNAcentral
UACGUAGGGUGCAAGCGUUGUCCGGAAUUAUUGGGCGUAAAGAGCUCGUAGGUGGCCUGUCGCGUCGGCUGUGAAAACUCGGGGCUCAACUCCGAGCUUGCAGUCGAUACGGGCAGGCUAGAGUUCGGCAGGGGAGACUGGAAUUCCUGGUGUAGCGGUGAAAUGCGCAGAUGUCAGGAGGAACACCGGUGGCGAAGGCGGGUCUCUGGGCCGAUACUGACACUGAGGAGCGAAAGCGUGGGGAGCGAACAGG